Molecule: transfer RNA, 73 nt
Filed under: Sinocapritermes mushae
Lineage: Eukaryota; Metazoa; Arthropoda; Insecta; Blattodea; Termitidae
Description: tRNA-Cys
Source: RNAcentral
AGCCUUGUAUUCAUUUAUGUGAUUAUAGAAUGCAAUUCUGUAGGGGUUAGUUGAAAAUAACUUACCAAGGCCU